Molecule: ribosomal RNA, 941 nt
Filed under: uncultured bacterium
Lineage: Bacteria
Also listed under: 1 other name
Description: bacterial SSU rRNA
Rfam family: Bacterial small subunit ribosomal RNA
Source: RNAcentral
UUGGAUCCAGACUUUGAUUCUGGCUCAGGACGAACGCUGGCGGCGUGCUUAACACAUGCAAGUCGAACGGGGUGUUUAUUUCGGUAAACACCAAGUGGCGAACGGGUGAGUAACGCGUAAGCAAUCUACCUUCAAGAUGGGGACAACACUUCGAAAGGGGUGCUAAUACCGAAUGAAUGUAAGAGUAUCGCAUGGGACACUUACUAAAGGAGGCCUCUGACAUAAGCUUCCGCUUGAAGAUGAGCUUGCGUCUGAUUAGCUAGUUGGUGAGGGUAAGGGCCCACCAAGGCAACGAUCAGUAGCCGGUCUGAGAGGAUGAGCGGCCACAUUGGGACUGAGACACGGCCCAGACUCCUACGGGAGGCAGCAGUGGGGAAUCUUCCGCAAUGGGCGAAAGCCUGACGGAGCAACGCCGCGUGAACGAUGAAGGUCUUAGGAUCGUAAAGUUCUGUUGUUAGGGACGAAGGGUAAGGAUCAUAAUAAGGUUUUUAUUUGACGGUACCUAACGAGGAAGCCACGGCUAACUACGUGCCAGCAGCCGCGGUAAUACGUAGGCGGCAAGCGUUGUCCGGAAUUAUUGGGCGUAAAGGGAGCGCAGGCGGGAAACUAAGCGGAUCAUAAAAGUGCGGGGCUCAACCCCGUGAUGGGGUCCGAACUGGUUUUCUUGAGUGCAGGAGAGGAAAGCGGAAUUCCCAGUGUAGCGGUGAAAUGCGUAGAUAUUGGGAAGAACACCAGUGGCGAAGGCGGCUUUCUGGACUGUAACUGACGCUGAGGCUCGAAAGCUAGGGUAGCGAACGGGAUUAGAUACCCCGGUAGUCCUAGCCGUAAACGAUGGAUACUAGGUGUGGGAGGUAUCGACUCCUUCCGUGCCGGAGUUAACACAAUAAGUAUCCCGCCUGGGGAGUACGGCCGCAAGGUUGCAACUCAAAGGAAUUGACGGA